RNAcentral lists this ribosomal RNA (492 nucleotides) under uncultured bacterium. RNAcentral describes it as "partial 16S ribosomal RNA". It matches the Rfam family "Bacterial small subunit ribosomal RNA", at positions 29 to 507 of the family's 1533-position model. The record is from RNAcentral.
AGUGAACGCUGGCGGUAGGCCUAACACAUGCAAGUCGAACGGCAGCACAGUAAGAGCUUGCUCUUACGGGUGGCGAGUGGCGGACGGGUGAGGAAUACAUCGGAAUCUACUUUUUCAUGGGGGAUAACGUAGGGAAACUUACGCUAAUACCGCAUACGACCUACGGGUGAAAGCAGGGGAUCUUCGGACCUUGCGCGAUUGAAUGAGCCGAUGUCGGAUUAGCUAGUUGGCAGGGUAAAGGCCCACCAAGGCGACGAUCCGUAGCUGGUCUGAGAGGAUGAUCAGCCACACUGGAACUGAGACACGGUCCAGACUCCUACGGGAGGCAGCAGUGGGGAAUAUUGGACAAUGGGCGCAAGCCUGAUCCAGCCAUACCGCGUGGGUGAAGAAGGCCUUCGGGUUGUAAAGCCCUUUUGUUGGGAAAGAAAAGCAGCAGGUUAAUACCCCGCUGUUCUGACGGUACCCAAAGAAUAAGCACCGGCUAACUUCGUG